GGGGGUAUAGCUCAGUUGGUAGAGCGUUGGCUUUGCAAGCCAAAUGUCAGCGGUUCGACUCCGCUUAUCUCCA
RNAcentral lists this transfer RNA (73 nucleotides) under Mychonastes homosphaera. RNAcentral describes it as "tRNA-Ala". It matches the Rfam family "tRNA". Rfam says of the family: Transfer RNA (tRNA) molecules are approximately 80 nucleotides in length. Their secondary structure includes four short double-helical elements and three loops (D, anti-codon, and T loops). RNAcentral also lists the same sequence under 1 other name. The record is from RNAcentral. Lineage: Eukaryota; Viridiplantae; Chlorophyta; Chlorophyceae; Sphaeropleales; Mychonastaceae.